GAUGAACGCUGGCGGCGUGCCUAAUACAUGCAAGUCGAGCGAACAGACGAGGAGCUUGCUCCUCUGACGUUAGCGGCGGACGGGUGAGUAACACGUGGAUAACCUACCUAUAAGACUGGGAUAACUUCGGGAAACCGGAGCUAAUACCGGAUAAUAUAUUGAACCGCAUGGUUCAAUAGUGAAAGACGGUUUUGCUGUCACUUAUAGAUGGAUCCGCGCCGCAUUAGCUAGUUGGUAAGGUAACGGCUUACCAAGGCAACGAUGCGUAGCCGACCUGAGAGGGUGAUCGGCCACACUGGAACUGAGACACGGUCCAGACUCCUACGGGAGGCAGCAGUAGGGAAUCUUGCGCAAAGGGCGAAAGCCUGACGGAGCAACGCCGCGUGUGUGAUGAAGGUCUUCGGAUCGUAAAACUCUGUUAUUAGGGAAGAACAAAUGUGUAAGUAUCUAUGCACGUCUUGACGGUACCUAAUCAGAAAGCCACGGCUAACUACGUG
RNAcentral lists this ribosomal RNA (497 nucleotides) under uncultured bacterium. RNAcentral describes it as "partial 16S ribosomal RNA". It matches the Rfam family "Bacterial small subunit ribosomal RNA", at positions 28 to 507 of the family's 1533-position model. The record is from RNAcentral.